This 300-nucleotide ribosomal RNA is filed under the name Triticum aestivum (bread wheat). RNAcentral describes it as "partial small subunit ribosomal RNA". The record is from RNAcentral. Lineage: Eukaryota; Viridiplantae; Streptophyta; Magnoliopsida; Poales; Poaceae.
AUGUGUGAACCAUCGCCGAUCUCGACCAUGCAGUUGUCUUCAUCGUGUCCAGGAGCUCGCCGGAGUCAUCCGUCGCCGCUAUCGUGGUCACCACGUCGCCUCCGCCGCCACCAUGGGCGGUCCUCUCGGUCCGGCCCGAGCUUUACCUCCGCCGGUCCGGUGCAGGAAAAGGGGUCCGCCGCGCUGCUCGGUCCGGUCCGGUUCGGUCCGCCACCGGCCGGUCUAAACGGCGGCUCGGUCAGGGACCGGACCGGCCUGGACCGUGCCCACCCUGAAUCCCAACUACAAGUCGACAAUUGA